UGGGGAAUUUUGCACAAUGGGGGAAACCCUGAUGCAGCGACGCCGCGUGAUUUAGAAGGCCUUCGGGUUGUAAAAAUCUUUUUUAUGGGAUGAAAAUGACAGUACCAUAAGAAUAAGGUCCGGCUAAAUACGUGCCAGCAGCCGCGGUAAUACGUAUGGACCGAGCGUUGUCCGGAAUCAUUGGGCGUAAAGGGUACGUAGGCGGCCCAGUAAGUUAGAAGUGAAAUAAUAUAGCUCAACUAUAUAAAGCUUUUAAAACUGCUAGGCUUGAGAGAUGGAAGGGAAAGUGGAAUUCCUAGUGUAGCGGUGAAAUGCGCAGAUACUAGGAAGAAUACCGGUGGCGAAGGCGACUUUCUGGUCAUCAUCUGACGCUGAGGUACGAAAGCGUGGGUAGCAAACAGG
Molecule: ribosomal RNA, 402 nt
Filed under: Verrucomicrobiota bacterium
Lineage: Bacteria; Pseudomonadati; Verrucomicrobiota
Description: Verrucomicrobia bacterium partial 16S ribosomal RNA
Rfam family: Bacterial small subunit ribosomal RNA
Source: RNAcentral